AGGACGAACGCUGGCGGCGUGCUUAACACAUGCAAGUCGAGCGGUGACCCUCCUUCGGGAGGUGAUCAGCGGCGAACGGGUGAGUAACACGUGGGCAACCUGCCCCUCACACUGGGAUAACCUCAGGAAACCGGGGCUAAUACCGGAUACGACCUCGAGCGGCAUCUCUUGAGGUGGAAAGCUCCGACGGUGAGGGAUGGGCCCGCGGCCUAUCAGCUUGUUGGUGGGGUAAUGGCCUACCAAGGCGACGACGGGUA
This 257-nucleotide ribosomal RNA is filed under the name uncultured bacterium. RNAcentral describes it as "partial small subunit ribosomal RNA". It matches the Rfam family "Bacterial small subunit ribosomal RNA", at positions 26 to 285 of the family's 1533-position model. The record is from RNAcentral.